This is a long non-coding RNA of Manduca sexta (tobacco hornworm), 844 nucleotides long. RefSeq lists it as uncharacterized. The transcript is spliced from 3 exons. The record is from RefSeq and is a predicted model, not a curated record. Lineage: Eukaryota; Metazoa; Arthropoda; Insecta; Lepidoptera; Sphingidae.
UUACUUUUACACUCGUGUUAAUUAAAAACAUUUCAAAAACAGAGUUCGCCAGCGUACUGGAAUUCAAAUCAAACAUCCGUCUGGUUUAUUACGUCGAUAUGUAAAUUUUGCACAGCGUCACUACCCUUAUAAAGACCCUGCUGAAUUGAAAAUUUAGUUGGACGAGUCGAGAGUACGCUCGGUUCAGUGCGGCCACGUCUUUCAGCCAACUCGCUGCUCGCAGACCGCGGUUUUAUAAAAUUAAAAAUGUGUAUUAACAUGUUUCUUUCAAUAAUUGACACGUCAAAGUGCUUCCAACGUUUUCGUUGUUAUGACGGAAAACGAUAACAUGUGAUACGUCACAAGCUGUCAAAAUGAGACAAGGACGGAAGAUGCGCGCGAGAGAGACGGCACGAUCGCGUGCCCGACCUCCGUGCGCGUCUGUCUGCGGAAAUGCGUCACACCGUCGCCGGCAGUGACGUCACGGCGGCGGACACCGGAAGCGGACAGUGGCGCCGCCCGCCGGAACCGGAUGCCGCCGCAAUGCGCGAUAUCGUCUUGCCAGAGAUAAUAACAUAAAAGAGGUAAUGCAGCCGAAGACACGACCCAAGAUCGACAUGCUGGUAUCACGCUUGGCUACUACAUAACAACACCACUACCUAAAAACAUUGAACGAUGAAGUACCACGCAUGAUGAUUAGAUGUUAGAUGUACGGCAUCUACCGAGUUAUUACCUCAAAUUCUAAGUUCACCAAACCAGAACACAACAGGCUCUCACUUCUAUAGAAAACGGUUGUCAAGAUAGAUAUUUUUGGAGACCUAUUAUGAAAUAGAAUGAAAUACCACACAUUUCAGGACGAAUCAGU